Molecule: long non-coding RNA, 2749 nt
Filed under: Heterocephalus glaber (naked mole-rat)
Lineage: Eukaryota; Metazoa; Chordata; Mammalia; Rodentia; Bathyergidae
Description: lncRNA (ENSHGLG00000035800.1)
Source: RNAcentral
GUAAGUUUUCUCUUUUGGGCUCUUUCUCAAUCUAACAAGAGAAAAAUUCCAAGAACUGGCCAACCUCAACACUUCAUAUAAAUUCUUAACCAUACCUAUCUUUAACUCUAUGACUCUCAAAUAAUGCCUAGGUCACAAAGUAACAAGUCACAGGAAGAAGGACAUAAGAAAGAAGGAAAAGUAACACAUCACCUACCAUAUGCCAAGGAAUGUAGAAAGCACUUUGCUCAUGUUUGUGCAAAGCCUCACUGUAAUUGUUUUACUUUGUUUGGGGAUGGGUUUUUUGGUUUCAGUUGGGCUUUUUGAGACAUCUCACUAUGUAGUUCAGGCUGUCCUUGCACUCACUAUGUAGCCCAGGCUGGGCUCAAACUUGAUGCAAUCCUCUUCCCUCAGCCUCCCGAGUGCCAGGAUUACAGGCAUGCUCCAUCACAUCCAGCUGUUGUUCUAUUUUUAUGAGCCUGUUGCUUAUGAACGUUGGCCCGAGAAUCAGAAUGUUUGAGUUUGCUGCUCUCCUCGCUGGGGAGUAGCUUAGAAAUGUGGACGUGUCAUUUAGCUGCUCCGCCCUUUUGCUUCCUCACCUGUGAAAUGGGAAUAACAUUGAUUCCUACUUCAUAAGGUUAGAAAAAUGAUAAAAGCCCAAGGGAAGGAGGGAGGGGAGAGCAGGGAGGACAAGGAGAUAUAAAAAGAAUUCAGAUAUAUAUAUACAGGUCCCAAGUCCCCAGGUGAAGCCAUUAUUAUGACCUGCAAACAUGGACUAAUAAAAAUUAAAUGUAAGGGGCGUUUGCUUGGUUUGGUUUUGAUUUUUUGAGACAGGGUCUCCCUGUGCAUUUCAGACUGACCUUGAACUCACUGUGUAGCCCAGGCUGGCUUUGACCUUGCAGCAAUCCUCCUGCCUCAGCCUCCUGAGUGCUGGGAUCACAGGCAUGUGCCAUCACACCUGGCUUCAUAUGUAGUGUGCUUAUAACAGUGCUGUUUAGCUUCAACAAAGAGUAUCUAGGUCAAAACUGUGAGUGAGGAGGAUCGGAGAAAGGAGCCAGAAAGCGAGUGUGGAGGAUGCUCUCAGUGAGCCAGGAGAGCUAGAUGGGGGGACACGGCCUCCAGCAUGUCUUCAUUUCCACACAACCACAAGCCAACUCCAGAAACAGGUUGUUUGCAUCCUCCUAAGAUAUUUAAACUGAAUUUCCUUGACCUCAGACUUCUGGCCCUAAACACUGUGAGAUAAUAUCUGUCUGUAGUUUCCCUCCCAGUUUGUGACACUGUGCCCUGGCAACCCUAGGAAAUGAAUGCAGCAUGCUAUGUGAAAUGUCCUCUGUAUUGUCUACCUCUCUUUUCUAAUUAAAGAAUGGCAUUGUACAGAAGGCCACCUAAUGGCAAGAAACAAUGUCCUGCCCCAUCCCUUCUCCCUCUCCGAAGAAUCCUAAGGUUCCGAGGUUUCUUUUUUUUUUUUUUUUGAUACCGGGGAUCGAACUCAGGACCUUGUGCUUUCGAGGCAGGCAGCAGAACCACUGAGCUAAAUCCCUGGCCCUCGAGGUUUCUUUUUUGUUUGUUUUUAUUUUUGGGGGGUACUGGGGACCAAACUCAGGACCUUUAGAGGCUAGCAGCGGAACCACUGAGCUAAACCCCUGCCCUCAUGUUUUUAGGGGGGUUUUGUUCCAAGUCAGAGUCUCGCUGUGUAGUCUAGGCUGGCCUUGGAUUCACUAGGUAGCCCAGGCUGGCCUUCAACUGGCAGCAAUCCUCCUGCCUCAGCCUCCCAAGUGCUGGGAUUUACAGGCAUGCGCCACCACCUCCAGCCUAAGGAGCCUUUUAAAAGGCUGGUAAAUUUCCACUUCUUCAAACCCUUCCCAACUACUGGCAACAGAGCAGGGAUUUCUCCUUGCUACUGAGCUUACUCUGAUAUGAGUGUUCCACUUCACAGGACAUAAAACGCCCAUGUAAUGAAUAUGCAUAUUAAAUUUUCCUUUUUUCAGUGCUUAAAUUAUUCCAGUCAGCCUGCUUUGGAAGGAGGCUUGCUUUCUGGAGGGCUGUCCUGCACAGAGGCAGUGUGGUCAGUUACUAUUCUGUGAAAUAUGAAACAACCACCAAGCUAUGUAAAAAGGAUCUACUCACGAUUUAAAACCCAACUCCAUAGUAACCGCUGCCUAGGUCAGAAGACGGAAGGCUACAUUCCCAGCAAGGCUCAGCAUCGCCGGGUGCAAAGAAAGCACAGAAUCCUUUACAGGGACCACGCUGACCCCAUGCACAGCACCGCAACUCAUAACAGCUAAUCCUGGAAGAGGACCCCGUGUCCAUCGACACAUGAAUGGAUAAAGAAAAUGUGCAAAAAUAAAUAAAUAAAUAAAUAAGAAAAUGUGCUAUUCAUGCAGACAGAGGCUGCACACUCUGCCAUGAAGAAAGAUAAAUCUAAAUCGUUUGUAGGAAAAUGGAGGCACCUUGAGACCAUAAUGUGAAGUGAAAUAAAUCAGACACAGAAACUUGACAUGGUUAACAUGGUUUCUCUUAUGCAAGAAACCCACAUUGUAAAUAAAGAGCAAGAUAAAGAUAGAUAAUAGGAAACAGGGAGAUAAGCCUUUCGCAAAAGGGAAGGAAACCAACAGAUGGGGGAGAGGAGAAAGGGAGGGAAAAAGAAUUAAGAUGUGUUACAUAGGGCCAGGGAUUUAGCUCAGUGGUUCCGCCGCCUGCCUCGCAAGUGCAAGGUCCCGAGUUCGAUCCCUGGUACCAAAAAAAAAGAUGUGUUACAUACUUGCACCAG